RNAcentral lists this long non-coding RNA (241 nucleotides) under Brassica napus (rape). RNAcentral's name for it is "long non-coding RNA (BNAP_LNC021573)". Lineage: Eukaryota; Viridiplantae; Streptophyta; Magnoliopsida; Brassicales; Brassicaceae. The record is from RNAcentral.
GACUGUUCUGCGUUAGAUAUUCCAAAAUGACUUCUUCCUUCAUGGCACUCUCUUCUUCACUCUUUCACCUGCUCCAAACCUGGAAUGAUAUCAAAUAAGCACGAAUUAUGACUGAGAAUUAACUCAAAGAACACAUAUAAUGGUAUUAAAAACACCAUAUAUCAAUUCUCCUAGACUUAAAUCCUUGUUUGUCCUCGAACAAGGCCAAGCCUCAAGAACAGGGAGAAUGGUUUGAAAGAGU